Long non-coding RNA from Bombina bombina (fire-bellied toad), 1747 nucleotides. RefSeq lists it as uncharacterized. The transcript is spliced from 2 exons. Lineage: Eukaryota; Metazoa; Chordata; Amphibia; Anura; Bombinatoridae. The record is from RefSeq and is a predicted model, not a curated record.
GUAUUGUCACAUCAAUGGGUGUCACAUAACAUUGAUGAAUCAAAAUGGACACUUGUUGAUGUAUCAUUGUGUCAUUCCAAUGCAAAUUCGUUUAUCUGUUCCCUUUCACAAUUCCAUACAACCAAUGAAACAUGUUGGGAAAAUCAAAAGUCUUGUACCUUACAAAGUAAUUUUAAUGUACUUAGACCGGUAUUUUAUUUAGGGUCUGACAGAGUUUGUUUUCAUUUAUUUAAUUCUGAUACUAUUAUAUUCCAAACACAGGAUAAUGUAUUCGCUAGUUCUCAUUUAUUACCUGGUACCUGGUGUAAUACUAUUCCACUUAAAUAUAUUGCAUCAUCUAAUUGGAAUUUUACCAUGCCCCAAACUCUUAAUAUUACUUUAAAUUUAACAUGGGACCAUGUUAUGAAUUUUUCUGUUUAUAAUUUACCUUUGGGUAUGGGAUCACAAAUGAAGAAAUGGUUAACUGAUUCUACUAUAAUUUCUUCCUUGUUACAAAAUUUAAAACAUAUUUCUGUAGAUACUAAAAUUACAGUUGAACAUGAACAAGGAAUUUUAAAAUCAGCUACUUCUAGUAUUUUACAGGAUGCAAAUAUAUCUUGGUGGGAAUCUGUAUUUGGAUAUAGAUACUCCUAUCUCUCUCUUUUCUUGGUGUCUGGAUGGAAUUCUUUUGAUUUGCACUUGGGCUCUUCUGAAUUGAUCUGCCUGACUACUACUGGACAUGCUGAGGCCUUGUGACAAGUUUACCUAUGGUUGCUGCAAUCGUUACCUGCAACUAACUGUGUCAUCUACUUGUUUCACCCUAUGGUUCUUCCUUGGCCUUUUCAGUGGUUAUAUACACUAUUUGUUCCUGUUUGUAAGCACUAUGAAGAUUACACAUGUAUUUCUUGAUGGAACUGCUCCUACAGACUUUAUUGCUUUCAAUUCUGCAACAAAUGUAUCUUACUACUAAGGUAGUUAUGAACUGAACUUUCUCUGCAAUGACGCUGCUAUGGAUUUGAUUCCUUCAAUCAAGACUUGAACAACUUUACUUAUGAACUAUGUAAUUAUUGGAACAUUCUUUAUUGUAGUGUAUGACGUCAAAUCCACUGUCUAUUGUUUGAAAUAUGUCUGGUAUAUGUCUGGUAGUUUCUUCUGUGUUGGCCCUUAGUGUUUAAUCAUUGGGAUUGUGUCUGACAAAAAGAAAAGAAAGUGGGGGAAUGUGGAGUUAUAAAAUCAUGAUUAGAAUAAAUUAUAAAAUCAUGAUUAGAAAAAUAUACAAUUUCAAAGAAGAAUUACACAUUAAAUAUGCUAUUCAUAGAUAAAACAUUUAGAUAUAAAUUAAGAUAUAGAAUAUGGAAAAGUUAUAAAUUAAAUUAACUUAGAUAGGAUUAGUCAGUUUAGUUAGUAAUGGGUUAAAUAGUGUUUUAAAGACAAUGUAUUUAAAACUGUGACAUUUACAUUCAGUUGCUGUUGUCAAUCAAAACACCUAUACUGCUAGCUAGACACAUAGUAUUAUUAACACUCUAAUGCACUGCGCAUGAACAAGUUAAAAUAGUAUUUUCUAUAUGUCAGCCAAAAUUAUAAAGUCUUUUAAGGAAGUUAAAAUAUACAAAGAUAGCAUUUUCAUUUAUGGUAUGCUUUGAUUUCAUUGGCUUAAAAUGUGUAUAUAAGCUUUUCCUUUGUAUGAAGCUAUUGUUAUCUUCUACCUUCAGAUCUCAAGGUAUGUAAUUAAUCUUGCAGUGAUUAAUAAAUAGUUUAUGUCAACUAA